Molecule: long non-coding RNA, 1440 nt
Organism: Hippoglossus stenolepis (Pacific halibut)
Lineage: Eukaryota; Metazoa; Chordata; Actinopteri; Pleuronectiformes; Pleuronectidae
Exons: 3
Source: RefSeq, a predicted model, not a curated record
CAAGGAACAGAAUAUACUAUAUAUGUGUGAACAAUGGGUUGACUAAUCUGCGUGGGAGGGUAAGAUACGGAGAGAAAAAAAGAAAAAACGGAAGAGCCUUAACAGUAAAAUAGGCGUGGAGGUUUCACACAGUUUCACGCCCCAGCUCUCAAUCCUGUCAUUCAACAACUUGUAUGGUAGAGGGACAGGUCGGCUUUUCACUCCUACUACAGGGACAGGAGAAUGUUUGGAUGAGCACAUGUGGGAUUCUUAACUGAAACUUUUUAAAGAAGGAAAGAAAAGAAAACCCUCAUGUGGCAGGUGUGACCUUAAACCAGGGACAAGAGGACGAGGCACCUGCCAACUAUAUUAUUAAGGCUUAAACAUCAUCCUGAGUAAAACACUGGAUAAACCAAGGAUACGCUUGUGGACUGAGACUGAGGAGCGGGUUCAGAGCGGUGCCUUUUAAACUGGAUCAGAGUUGAACAAAUCACCUCAGACGUCUGUGAAAAUGUCUGAGGACCCACUGAACACCACGCCAGGUUCGGCUGAUGUUAUGUUAGAGAUGAGCAGCAGUGAAGGAGACGCCGCGUCCUGCCGGGAGGACAGGUACAACAGGAAACUGGCCAUCUGCAGCAUCAUCUGUGGGAUCUCCUGCAUCGGGAUCAAAGCUUUGAUAUAUUCAGUCAAGGCUGAGAAAACAGAGGAUUCAGUGAGAUCCGCGAAGUAUUCACGACAGGCGAGAAAAUACGGCAUCAUAUCCAUCGUAGUGUUGAUUUGCUGUUUGGCCAUAAUCCCCAUGCUGAUGGCGCUGAUCUCAUAUCUUUUCACUCUGAAAGACUGAUCGACUUUGGAUGGACGCCAAACGACGGCGUGGCUCUUUCUGACUAUGGAGGAUUACAGAGACAGUGGACUGUACAGAGGUGCUCAUGCUAUAUUACAAGAAGACGUGAAGAAACUGGUAUUUACAUGUAACACAAAAAUAACCACUGCUGUAGCUUUUCUUGUUGUUGUCCCAGUUUCCGUCUCACUGCUUCCUCUUAAACAUCCUCAUAUUUUACACAAGGAAACCACUCAAGAAAAUAGUGUUAAAAACCGUCUUUUCUUACACGCUGUAAUAUUUAUUUAAUAUAUAUGGACCACUCUAAAUGACAAUAGAAAAUUCAACAUUGCUGAUAGUUUGAGACAUGAAACAACUUGAUACAUACAGUAUAUCAAACAUUACAAUUCCUCACUAACGACCCAAUCCUUAAUAUUUUUUGGGGUCUGUUCUAGAAGGCAGAGAUCAUGGCAGUGCUUCGUCAGAACAUAAGAGGAGACCCUGCUCUUGUUGCACCAACAUUAUCUUGGCAUUAUUGCAUUGUAAGCGUAUUAACUUUAUUAAUAUUGAAUGUAUCAAUAUGCUGUACCAUAUACAAACAUGUAACAGAGACAAUUUUGUAAUAAAAAUGACAAACGUAA